AUUGAACGCUGGCGGCAGGCCUAACACAUGCAAGUCGAACGAGUGGCGGACGGGUGAGUAAUGUCUGGGAAACUGCCUGAUGGAGGGGGAUAACUACUGGAAACGGUAGCUAAUACCGCAUACCAUAAGCUGUGGCAAGAGUGGAUUAGCUGGUUGGUGGGGUAACGGCUCACCAAGGCGAAGAUCCCUAGCUGGUCUGAGAGGAUGACCGGCCACACUGGAACUGAGACACGGUCCAGACUCCUACGGGAGGCAGCAGUGGGGAAUAUUGCACAAUGGGCGCAAGCCUGAUGCAGCCAUGCCGCGUGUAUGAAGAAGGCUUUCGGGUUGUAAAGUACUUUCAUCGGGGAGGCGUUACCCGCAGAAGAAGCACCGGCUAACUCCGUGCCAGCAGCCGCGGUAAUAC
This 406-nucleotide ribosomal RNA is filed under the name uncultured bacterium. RNAcentral describes it as "partial 16S ribosomal RNA". It matches the Rfam family "Bacterial small subunit ribosomal RNA", at positions 30 to 526 of the family's 1533-position model. The record is from RNAcentral.